ACAAAGGCUCUUUUCAGAGCCACCCACUCUUUCUAAAGAGAGCUGG
This is a non-coding RNA of Heterocephalus glaber (naked mole-rat), 46 nucleotides long. The record is from Rfam. NCBI's taxonomy places the organism in Eukaryota, Metazoa, Chordata, Mammalia, Rodentia, Bathyergidae.